RNAcentral lists this long non-coding RNA (249 nucleotides) under Ictidomys tridecemlineatus (thirteen-lined ground squirrel). RNAcentral describes it as "lncRNA (ENSSTOG00000033309.1)". Lineage: Eukaryota; Metazoa; Chordata; Mammalia; Rodentia; Sciuridae. The record is from RNAcentral.
UUUUUUUUUUUAGGAGCAGGAGUAUGAUGAAGAAUAGAAGAAUUUCUGAUUGUUUACAUGACAUGCAAGUCCACCCAAUUCAGAAUUUGCAUUCUUCACAUUCAUCAGGCUUAAUGGAGAAAUCAAACUCCAUUUGUUCAAAUUCAGCAGAAUCGUAUCUCCCUGGAAUUUGCAAAGAAUUGAUUGGUUCAUCAGUAGAUUUUCUUGGACAGAGUUAUGAUGAAGAAGAAACAAUAGCAGAUAGCCUGA